RNAcentral lists this unclassified non-coding RNA (253 nucleotides) under uncultured Pirellulaceae bacterium. RNAcentral describes it as "contains 16S-23S intergenic spacer region". It matches the Rfam family "Bacterial small subunit ribosomal RNA", at positions 524 to 776 of the family's 1533-position model. Lineage: Bacteria; Pseudomonadati; Planctomycetota; Planctomycetia; Pirellulales; Pirellulaceae. The record is from RNAcentral.
GACGAACCGGACAAACGUUAUUCGGAAUCAUUGGGCUUAAAGGGUGCGUAGGCGGCGCUGUAAGUCAGGUGUGAAAUCCCUCAGCUCAACUGAGGAAUUGCGCCCGAUACUGCAGUGCUCGAGGGAGACAGAGGUAAGCGGAACUGAUGGUGGAGCGGUGAAAUGCGUUGAUAUCAUCAGGAACACCAGUGGCGAAAGCGGCUUACUGGGUCUCUUCUGACGCUGAGGCACGAAAGCUAGGGUAGCGAACGGG